Mus musculus (house mouse) is the source of this 5955-nucleotide long non-coding RNA. RefSeq annotates it as predicted gene, 30259. NCBI's taxonomy places the organism in Eukaryota, Metazoa, Chordata, Mammalia, Rodentia, Muridae. The record is from RefSeq and is a predicted model, not a curated record. The transcript has 2 exons.
UGGAGAGGGGGGUGGGGAAGGGGAGGUGAGGGAGGGGGAAUCAUUCCCUUAGGUUAGAACAAUCCUUAGCUCUCUGCAUGGGAAGAGCCUUCAGAGAUCAGCCAGUCCAGGAGUGGCAAAGCACUCAUAAGCUCUAGUGGGAUGAGCCUGCAUGCACCCUGAGAAGAGCAUGCUAGUGUUGGUUGGUAAUGUCUGCUCUGGGCACUGAAUUGGAAUCAGUGGUGUAUACACUGGAAUGUCACGAAUUUGCUUCAGCUGGCACCUUUGCAAAGUAGAACAACGAAGAGUCUAGGGUAGGGUAUCUAGCUAAGGUUUCAACCCUACCCUGCUCUUUUGCAAGAGGGACUUGUGUAGCUGAGGCUGCCCUUGAACUCCUGGUUCUCCUACCUCUACUUCCAAGGUGAUAGGAUUACAGACUUUUGACAACCAUACCCAAACUGGAAUUUCCAAAUUUAACACAGACAAGGGACUUGGGGAAUAUAGUGGAUUUGGGUACCUAGUGUGUGAUAAUGGUCGGUGAGAGAGCAGACAGCCCGCAGCUGUGGAGAAGGUUGUAGCAUGUCACAGACCAGACGUGGGGCAAGUGUUUCCACUGAGUGCUAGCUCACUGGACUUGCCUAGCAUCUGCCUCUGCCUUGUUUAUUUCACUUCUGAUUUCCCCAUCUUGGUCUCCCCAUAGAAGAAUAGGAGGCUCUUUGGAGCAAGAGCUUCCUGUAAACGGAGUCAAAACUACAGUUGAGAGGCGAGAAGACAGGGUGGGGAUGGGGAGAAUAGGCUUGCACAGGGAUGGCACCCGUAUGCAGAGACCCUGGCAGUGUGGACUCUGAAAGGAGGCAGCUAUGGAGGAGCAGGGCAGAGAAGAGCAGGGACCAUUAAGCCAGAGUGUCCUGGCUGGAGGAUGCAAAUGGGACUAGAAGGUCCAGGUACUCAGGACUGGCCCACCUUUAAAGUUGGCUCAUGAGCCUCUGCCCUCUUCCAUUCCUAUGUGGGCUAUCUUCCUCUCCAGUCCAUCUUUCUCUUCUCCAUGUCCUUGUCCGCAUCCAUACCACAGUGCCUCCUGGGUAUAUGGUGAGAAUGGUCCUAUCAGAGUUAAGCCAAGGGGCUGAUUGAAUCUAGAUUAUGGGGCUAAGGCUAGGCAAAGAAAAUAGGCUUCGAGAACACUCUAGAGCAGCUCAACAUCCCACCAGCUUUCUGUAAGAGAAAGUAGGCCUAGAGAGGAGGAGGCUGCCAGUGUCAGUAACCAGGUUAAACAGUCACUGUGAUAUGCCCUCAGACUCUCAUCUUCCUGCAGGAGAGCACUCCCAGAUCCUGCCCACAGAACUGCCCUUCAUCAUGUCUUGUUAGAAAGGCCUCUUCGACCUUACCCCUGGAUAGAUACAGGAUUGGAUCUGGCUCAUCCAUCCAUGAACCACAAGUCACUCAAUAGAAACAGACCCAGUGCCAUCAGCUGAGGGCCUUUCCCUGAUCUCUUAGGGAAAAGGUGUUUUGUUUUCUGCAGAGUUUGCUACUGUAGGAAAUUUAAGUAUGGGCUGCUUAGAGCAUUUGGGGUUCGGCUACCCAGAGAGUAAAGCUAACACAAAUGAGAGCAGACCUGAGUCGAAGAGACAGAUGCCCAGUAACAUUGUCUGAAUGCCCUGAUCCAGAUACGCCUGAAACCUCUCUCUGAGUUUGUUUCCAGUUAUGUGGGAAAAAGCUUAAGCUGUCCUGAUUUGGGUUUCUGUCUCUGUGUCUGUCUGUCUGUAUCUCUGUGUCUGUCUCUGUGCCUCCAUCUCGCUUCCCUGCUCCCCACCCCAGGCUCGCAUGUAGCCCAAGCUGGUCUUAGACCCUCUAUGUAGCUAAGUUUGAUCUGAAGCCCUGCUCCUCCUGCCUCUACUUCCCAAGUAGGGAUUAUAGACAUGUGCCAUCACGCAUCGCAUGGUUUUAUGUGACGCUGUGGCAGGCAAGCGCUGCACCAACUAAGCUACAUCCUCACCCUCUUCACUCGGAUUCCUAACUGUUUACAUGCAAGAGGCUGUAGAUCAGCCUAGAGAAACAGGGAUAGAGAACUUAAAGAGAGAAGUAGCUGGCAAGAUGAGGAUCAAGUCUGAGGAGACAGCAGAGGAGGACGAGAGCUUACUGAAAAGAACACGGGGCCAAGGAGGAUUUUUUUUCAGAGAAGCCUAUCCAAGAUGGGUGUCUCUCCAUGUGAUGAUAGCUGUCCAUUCGAGCCCCAAACCUGUACAGGUGGUAGGACGACAUAGAACAAGAGGAAGACAGUGUCAGCUGGAGUGUAUCUGGUCAGUCAGCACUUGGUUGCAGUUUGCAGAGCAUGUGCUCCUAACCAGUUUCUAAAGAGGAAGGGAAAUAUUCAACAAAUCCCUGCACGCCUCAUACUCAGAAUGUCCCGCUCCUUAUCAGAUGUAACCGGAUUUCUUCCGAUGUACAGUAUACAAAACUCAGCGAUAGACACCAGAGGCCUGGGAAGAACGGAAUGGCCCGGGGUUGCCUCGUUCUGAUGCAUCGUGAGGUGGCCCAGAGAGAUGACCUCAGCACUCCCCUCUGUAACGGCAAAAACCUCCACUGAUUAUGGACUCGACGAAGUGAACUCUGGGGCCCCCAACCAGGGCAUCGUCUGCUGAGACUACCUCUGGAGAUGCCAGGCCAGAUGGGGAUGAUGGGAGGAAAUGGUGCCCAGCACUGAUAAGCCACUCCCUUCCUUUGUCCCAGACGCACUUCAAUGUCUGCUAUGUCUUUGCAUUGGGAAUCCUCAAGGGAGAGACAGAGAACAGACAGACAAACAGGGUGGAGGGGCCUCUUCCUGGUGCCAGGGAGCCUCUUUACCCCUCCCCACCUUUCCUCACUUCCUCUCACUGGGGAACCAUGAAAACCAUAUAAAGAAACCUCAGCUGUAACAAUAAAAUGCAUAUAUGUAAUACAUGUGCACAUAUAAAAUAUUUGUGAAUGUAACCAGUAGAUAACAUUGUUAUUUCCUUCUUUGGUUUACAGUCUGGCCUGUGUCUUCUCAAAGCCACAUAGUAUUACACUUAUUUCCUCCCUGGUUGAUGGCCAUUGAGGUUGCUCCUGAGUUUCUGCUAUUGCAAACAAGAACAUCUAGACACUGCGCAUGUGUGAAUGUUUCUAGAGGAUUCAUUCCUAGAGAAGAGAUUGCUGGCUCAAAAUGCCUAUGAAUUUUUCAUUUUGAAAGAUUGUGCCAAGUUAGAGUGGAGACCUUUUCCCUGUGACGGAGCCUUCCAUCUCUGGGGCUUAACUAGAGAUGAAAGAUAUCUCGGCCAGAAAGAGCACAGGGUUUCCAUUAGACAAGGGCAUGUUCUAGUCCUGGCUCUGCCACCUUCUCGUGUGACUUUGACUAAAUCACUUAAUCUCUGUCUGUCUGUCUGUCUGUCUCCUCUUCUUCCCUCCUUUUGUCCCUCUCUCCCUUGUGUGAUAUAUGUAUGGUGGGCACAUUUUGUAGCACAUAUAUGGAGUUCAGAGGACAACCACAGGUUGGCCCUUUGAAGCAGGAUUUCUUUGUCAUUCACCAUUGCAUAUACCAGGUUAGCUGUCCCAGUACAGAACAGGCUUUUGACCAGCAUAUGUUCUAGUUCCCUAUCUGAACUCUCUAUAUCCACCAUGGCAAACCAGCUCUGGAGAGAGGCUGCCAAAGAUACUUAUUAGUUGUCAUUGCAGAAGUCAGGAUUGCACCAAGGUCUUUUCCCUUCAUGGUCUGUUCAGCUCAGCCACUGCUCAGGAGGAAGGGGUCAAGAGUAGAACAAUGGCUGGGUUUGGUGACAGGGAAUGACCAGAAGCAGUCUACAUAGAGCAUGGAACCCGAACCAGUAAAGGAAGUACAGCAAAGGCCUGAUGUCAGCAGCGGAGGGCAUCAGUGUUAGGAGCCCAAUUCAGAGGGAGGGAUUCGGAGAAGGGGUCUGGAAGUCCUUGGUGACAUGGCAGCAGCAGAUCACCUCCAAAGUCCCCGUGGGGACCCUCAGCUGCAGAUCACUGUACUCUGUAAUCUCCAGGCUUCCUGUGGUAUCAGAUCCAUUGUCUUCUGCCCCUGGCAGUGUAACGGGCCAUGGGACAAGCAGACCAGGCUGCUCUUCCUGGAAGAGAGUGCAAAAACUGCUGGCAUGGGAAUCAGAGGGGUGAUCCAAAAUGGUGGAGCCGAGCAGCUUUGUGAGAGCAGUGCUGGCAAAGUCUCCAGAAGGUGGAGUCGUGAUGGGUGGUGAUCCGUGGGCUUGGCAGUGGGCCUGAGAAGCACGCUCUGAAGCCUGAGUCUGGACAGGUGGUUCUCAUUCCCAGACCCAUCCAGUACAUGCUCUGAGGUUCAGGGGAGUCAUGCAUUCUUUUAAAUAUCAUUUUCUUCCUUGGUAAAUGAAGAUAGCAACCUCCCCGGUGCAUAGCUCCAGAGGCUGGGUGUGGUGGCUUUGCCUGUAGUCGGCACUCAGGAGGCUACGGCAGGAGGAUUUGGAAUCAAGGCCAGUUACAGAAUGAGAUUCUAUCUCAAUUUAAGAAACAAAAACGGAGCUGAGUGGAGUGUGGUGGCUUACAACUGUAAAUCCCAAGACCAGAGAGAGGCUGACAUAUGAGGAAUAUGAAGAAUUCAAAGCCAGCCUGAGCUAUAUAGUAAAUUCUAGGUUAGCAAGAAAUGCAGAGUGAGAUUUUUUGUCUCAAAAACAAAUAAACAAGCAAACAAAGACAAAACAAACAUCCUAAAAGAACCCAGAAAAAUCAGGAAAGUAUAAAGGGGCCUUGUUGGGAGGAAUGGGGGGAGCAAUAGUGAGGGUGGAUUUGAUUGGAGACGUGGGAAAAAUGGGGGAACUCUAAUGGCAGGGGAUUGUGGAAGAGGAAAGUGGGUAAAAUAACAGGAAAAAUGUCUGAAAAAAGUCACAAGUAUCAUACUAUUCCCCAUCUAUCUAAAAGUCCUUGUAAUAGUUGGAGGUUAAUAAUAAACAUACAGAUAACAUUUAAAUGAGCAGUUUGCAUCUGGCCUGACAAUGCUUUCUCUAAGAUCCAGAUACCAUGUAACAAAAACUCCAACACUAGGUGUGAAAAGGCCUUUUCUGAAUUGUUGGUCAGGGUUGUCCAAGAGACUCUCAAAUUGCAUGCCACUGCUAUUGCCCUCAGUUGCCCCCAGAGGAGGAAGGUAAGUCUCUAUUGAUGAAGAGACCAUGCCCUUCAGACACAGAGUUCAGAGACCCCUGAGCUGAGAAUGAUCUGAGUGAAUGCUUCCUCUCUGAGGACUAGUUUUCAUGAUGCCAUUCAAGCUUCCAGUGGAGAAAAGUAUCCAGGUUUAAAAUGUAAAGAAAUAAUGCAAUAUAAAGAAAAAUCUAGCCGGGUGGUGGUGGCGCACGCCUUUAAUCCCAGCACUCGGGAGGCAGAGGCAGGCGGAUUUCUGAGUUCGAGCCCAGCCUGGUCUACCAAGUUACCAAGUGAGUUCCAGGACAGCCAGGGCUAUACAGAGAAACCCUGUCUAGAAAAACCAAAAAAAAAAAAAAAAACAAAACAAAAACCAACCAACCAAACAAACAAAAAAAAGUAUCCAGCUAUCACACCCAUGAUCCACAACAGUAAACACCUGGCACGCAUACCUUAGCAGUAACCAACAACUGUCUAAUUGGACUUAAGACCUACCUGUUUGCAGGGUGGUGGCUCACACCUUUAGUAACUCACCUGCCUUUGUCCUGCUUCUGUACCUGCAAGGGUAGCUGCUCUGCUCUCCAAUCAAAUAGUGAGAUCAUGGUCUUAUUCUUGUAAAAAGUUCAUAAUAUCCUGUCACGCUUGUCAACAGCUACCACAUCUACAUCAACAGAAAGUACCCAACAUAUAGGGGUUGUCUCUAUAAACUUCCUGCUUUACUGACUUGGGGCCACCUCUUUAGACUUGUAGCCACAGGAGAGUGUGCCGUCCCCUCCCCCCUUCCCGUGUGCCUCCCUCCCUUGCCUUGGUCUGUGUGGCUCAAUAAAAAUUCCAAAUUCA